GCAGGGGUUCCCUAGCCUGGUAAGGGGCUAGCCUGCUAAGCUAGUGGCGUUAUGCGCCUCGCGGGUUCAAAUCCCGCCCCCUGCG
RNAcentral lists this transfer RNA (85 nucleotides) under Thermoproteota archaeon. RNAcentral's name for it is "tRNA-Ser". It matches the Rfam family "tRNA". From Rfam's summary of the family: Transfer RNA (tRNA) molecules are approximately 80 nucleotides in length. Their secondary structure includes four short double-helical elements and three loops (D, anti-codon, and T loops). Lineage: Archaea; Thermoproteati; Thermoproteota. The record is from RNAcentral. RNAcentral also lists the same sequence under 1 other name.